RNAcentral lists this small nuclear RNA (107 nucleotides) under Dasypus novemcinctus (nine-banded armadillo). Lineage: Eukaryota; Metazoa; Chordata; Mammalia; Cingulata; Dasypodidae. The record is from RNAcentral.
AUACCCACUUCGACAGCAUAUAUUCUAAAAUUGAAACGCUACAGAGAAGAUUAGUGUGGCCCCUGCUAAAGGAUAACAUGCAAAUUUGUGAGGUGUUCCUUAUUUUU